Molecule: ribosomal RNA, 253 nt
Filed under: uncultured bacterium
Lineage: Bacteria
Description: partial 16S ribosomal RNA
Rfam family: Bacterial small subunit ribosomal RNA
Source: RNAcentral
UACGUAGGUGGCAAGCGUUGUCCGGAUUUAUUGGGUUUAAAGGGUGCGUAGGCGGCCCUGUAAGUCAGUGCUGAAAUAUCCCGGCUUAACCGGGAGGGUGGCAUUGAUACUGCGGGGCUUGAGCAAAGUUGAGGUUGGCGGAAUUGACGGUGUAGCGGUGAAAUGCUUAGAUAUCGUCAAGAACACCUAUAGCGAAGGCAGCUAACUAAACUUUAACUGACGCUGAGGCACGAAAGUGUGGGGAUCAAACAGG